UUGUGUACCUAAAAUUCAGCACAUAACUAAUUCCUAUUUGUAAAAAGGAAAGUUGCACUUAUAGUGAUGUCUCCUUUCUAGUCGGCUUAAUAGAACUACAUUUAACUGAACGAGAUGGGUCGCAGAAAAUCGAAAAGAAAACCUCCACCAAAAAAGAAAAAUAUUGAGCCGUUGGACCAGCAGUUUAAUUGCCCCUUCUGUAAUCAUGAAAAGUCCUGUGAAGUAAAAAUUGCAGUUUUAGCGGAACCUGCCCAAAAAUCAUCCAAAAAAGUUGGGAGGGCUACCGCGUGUCAACCCUCAUAAUAAUCUGCAAGCGGAAAUUAACUUUUUUAAUUCAUUCCAAAGUUGUUUGUAAAAAACAUUGCGUUCGUUUUGAUGAAUUUCAAAUAAUUGUGGUAAUUCUGCGGGGUACAACUGCGGAACAAGUGAAGUAUAGCGGCCGUUGAGGGAAAAUAUAAAUAAAAAGUAUAUAAAUAAAAAGUGGGCGUGGACCGCACCGUUUUACUGAUUUUAAUCAAGGCGGAUUUAUGGAAGGGGAUGU
Molecule: RNA transcript, 541 nt
Organism: Rhagoletis zephyria (snowberry fruit fly)
Lineage: Eukaryota; Metazoa; Arthropoda; Insecta; Diptera; Tephritidae
Source: RefSeq, a predicted model, not a curated record